Phymastichus coffea is the source of this 837-nucleotide long non-coding RNA. RefSeq lists it as uncharacterized. The record is from RefSeq and is a predicted model, not a curated record. The transcript has 3 exons. NCBI's taxonomy places the organism in Eukaryota, Metazoa, Arthropoda, Insecta, Hymenoptera, Eulophidae.
ACUCAUCAUCCCGAUGAUGGAAACAUACACUCACACAGAGAAAGAGAGUGAGCCUACGUCUGAUUAUCCAUCGGAACCCGCUCAACGCCUCAUUACGUACACGGCCGAUAUUAUCUUUAUUAAGGGAUACGACAUUUUUUUUCCGUUUGCUCAGCCAAAACAGGUGUGUUAUAAGGUAUAUGUAUGUCCACAAGAGUACUGCAACGAUCAUUCAGGAGUCAGUCAACUGGAGGAAAGUUAUAGAGGUUGCAAGCAUGUUGGAUUACAGAGGCGUUGAUGACUUCCUGCCGAUAGUAGCAUACCAUAGCCUUGACCUUGGAUCUACAUUACUGUGCAGAAACGGCAGCUGGGUCACGCAGACACAUAUACCUUAAACUAAGGCGAACCCAACCGCGACGCCGCCACUGCUCUACAUUUGUGCGAAGGAGGCGAAACUGAAGCCAAGGAACGUGACGUGCAGAGAAAGAGAGAGAGAGAGAGAGGACGACGGCCAAAAUUUAUGGGCGCUUUAUCACUUUUCCGGCCUUGCCCCCCACCGACACUGGCGUCUCGCGAGAUGAACGUUAGCAAUACCACUUCAGCCUGCUUUUGAUGCUUACAUGAUUGACAGCCAGAAGAAGAUUGAGAUAUUUGAAGAUUACCUCGUAAUGUGUCACAUUUUACCAAAGACCUUUUAUCUUGGGCUACUAUAGAUACAUGCACGUGAAUUAUUCAUGCUCAAGAAGAAUCAUUUCCUGCACGAGCCUGUGAGUUCAGCAAGUGUUUAUACAGAUAGUGAAAUGUAUAUAACUCGUUCAAAGGCUAAGCAGUCUAAUAGUGCAUGGAUCCACUGAUUGA